RNAcentral lists this ribosomal RNA (463 nucleotides) under uncultured bacterium. Its description in RNAcentral is "partial 16S ribosomal RNA". It matches the Rfam family "Bacterial small subunit ribosomal RNA", at positions 28 to 507 of the family's 1533-position model. The record is from RNAcentral.
GACGAACGCUGGCGGCGUGCUUAACACAUGCAAGUCGAACGGAAAGGCCCCUUUGGGGGUACUCGAUUGGCGAACGGGGGAUUAACACGUGAGUAACCGGCCCUGGACUUCGGAAAACCUUCAGGAAACUGGGGCUAAUCCCGGUUAGGAAUCCUUGCGGCAGGGUGGGGGUUGGAAAGUUUCGGCGGUUUUGGAUGGACUCGCGGCUUAUCCCCGUGUUGGUGGGGUAGUGGCUUACCAAGGCUUUGACGGGUAGCCGGCCUGAGAGGGCGACCGGCCAUUGUGGGAGUGAGAUGCGGCCCAGACUCCUACGGGGGGGAGGAGUGGGGAAUAGUGCACUAUGGGCGGAAGUCUGAUGCAGCAACGCCGCGCGCGAGAUGACGGCCUUCGGGUUGUAAACCGUUUUCAGGAGGGGCGAAGCUUGGUGACGGUACCUGCAGAAGAAGCACCGGCUAACUACGUG